This is a long non-coding RNA of Neofelis nebulosa (Clouded leopard), 634 nucleotides long. RefSeq lists it as uncharacterized. The transcript has 3 exons. The record is from RefSeq and is a predicted model, not a curated record. NCBI's taxonomy places the organism in Eukaryota, Metazoa, Chordata, Mammalia, Carnivora, Felidae.
GCUGCUGGAGGUAAAUCUCAUAAUAUUGUGGGCGUCCCUCGUGACCAGAUCCCCCUGGAGUUUUUAACUCUCAGACUUGUCCACACUGAGCCUCCAGCAAUUUGUCAAUUCCAAUUCAGCUUUUCUAUCCCCUCAAGGGUUCCCACAGGCUUUUCUCCUCCUGAGUCUCUGCUUUAGUCAGUUGCGCCUUCCUGUAUUUUCCUCUCAAGUGUUGGGGGGCAGUGGUUUGCCCUGUAUCCUCCCCUCUCUUAUCCAGGAAGACUUGUUUUUCAGUCAGUUCAGCUUUUUACUUGUUCAGUUCGAGUGAUGACUUUCAAGCUUCUUACUUGUGGAAAGGAAAAGCAGACGUCCCAGAGGAUAGACUUGAAAAUCCGAUAAUCUUCUAAUUAGCUAUUGGAUUGUAGGAGAAAAAUGGCCACAGAAACACCUAGAGACACAGAGAAGAAGACAAUGUGAAGACAGAAGCAGAGAUUGGAGUGAUCUGUCUACAAGACCAAGGGACACCAAGGAUUGCCUGCAACCACCAGAAGCUAGGAGAGAGUGGCCUCGGAGGUGAGCAGCGAAAGCCCCAAAGGAAACAAAACAGGGUAAGGGAAAGAAUUCCCAAAGCCAUGUCUUACAACUUGGAGAACCG